GGCAAGGUAGCUCAGUGGUAGAGUGCUUGCCUUGCAUGCAUAAGGCCCUGGGUUCGAUUCCUCAGCACCA
Molecule: transfer RNA, 70 nt
Filed under: Dipodomys ordii (Ord's kangaroo rat)
Lineage: Eukaryota; Metazoa; Chordata; Mammalia; Rodentia; Heteromyidae
Rfam family: tRNA
About the family: Transfer RNA (tRNA) molecules are approximately 80 nucleotides in length. Their secondary structure includes four short double-helical elements and three loops (D, anti-codon, and T loops).
Source: Rfam by way of RNAcentral